Molecule: long non-coding RNA, 821 nt
Filed under: Panax ginseng (ginseng)
Lineage: Eukaryota; Viridiplantae; Streptophyta; Magnoliopsida; Apiales; Araliaceae
Description: long non-coding RNA (PGIN_LNC009972)
Source: RNAcentral
AAGUCAAGAUAGUAAUUCCUUGACCCAAGAGACUAUGGACUCUAGCGAGGAGUACACAGACAGUGAGAUGAUAAGAGAUUUGAUAGUUAGGAACGACGACUUAAGGGUUAGAGCUGAGCAGGCGGAGGCACAUAAUCGUACUCUCCAGAUUUCGGAACAGCAGUACAAGGACGCUGCUCAUCGAACACAGAUGGAGUUAGUAGAGUUACGAAGGAGGUUGGAACAGAGGGAGAUACAGAUAGGACAGUUGAAGGUUGAGAUAGAAGCCAAAGACACCAGGAUAUAUACCUUGGAGCAGGCUUUAGACAUCGCCUUUAUGCGAUUCGACACAAAGUGGAUGGAGCUGCCUUUCGGCAGAGAUAUAGGCGUUGAUGAGAAUUGAAUAAAUUUAUCGUCAAACAAAAUAAGAGACAACGUAUAUAGAACUCUUGAUUGCUGUGUAUAUAUACUAUAUGCUAAUCAGGGUAACUUAUGUAUGUAGAUGUCUGGUGGAAAAGAUAUGUGGAAUAAGAAGGAUCAGAUCCAUACCCCCGAGCUAAUAUCGAAGCCAAUAGCGGAAAUAGAAGCUCAAAAUGAGAAAAUGACAGAUAGUGAUUCAGACACUAAAGUUGAAGCUGUUCAAGCAUCAACGGAGGUGUAGGACUUGGAGAACAAGGUUUCUUCACUGGAAAGGUUGUGGGAGAUAGAAAAGCUGCUACGUCAGGCAUUAAUAGAAACAAUGGAAGAACAUGAGAAGCUUAAGAUCCAAAUUGAUCAGAUGGGAGCCUCAAGCAACACUUCGUGUGCAGCUCCGAGAGAUAAGGGAAAAAGAAAGAUAGGAG